GUUGGGAUGGUGUAACGGUAACAUUUCGGUCUCCAAAACCGACGAUCUGAGUUCGAGUCUCAGUCCCUUCGCCA
RNAcentral lists this transfer RNA (74 nucleotides) under Leptolyngbya boryana NIES-2135. RNAcentral's name for it is "tRNA-Trp". It matches the Rfam family "tRNA". Rfam says of the family: Transfer RNA (tRNA) molecules are approximately 80 nucleotides in length. Their secondary structure includes four short double-helical elements and three loops (D, anti-codon, and T loops). Further hydrogen bonds mediate the characteristic L-shaped molecular structure. tRNAs have two regions of fundamental functional importance: the anti-codon, which is responsible for specific mRNA codon recognition, and the 3' end, to which the tRNAs corresponding amino acid is attached (by aminoacyl-tRNA synthetases). tRNAs cope with the degeneracy of the genetic code in two manners: having more than one tRNA (with a specific anti-codon) for a particular amino acid; and 'wobble' base-pairing, i.e. permitting non-standard base-pairing at the 3rd anti-codon position. Lineage: Bacteria; Bacillati; Cyanobacteriota; Cyanophyceae; Leptolyngbyales; Leptolyngbyaceae. The record is from RNAcentral.